Molecule: long non-coding RNA, 3827 nt
Organism: Talpa occidentalis (Iberian mole)
Lineage: Eukaryota; Metazoa; Chordata; Mammalia; Eulipotyphla; Talpidae
Exons: 3
Source: RefSeq, a predicted model, not a curated record
CUUCAUGGGACUCACCACUCCCCUGGCUCCUGUGAGAGCAGCUGCAGGGACAGGUGAUCAGGGUUUGUCUCAUUUAGAAGCUUCGCUAUUUUCUGCUCUGUCUCGUGCUGCAUCGCUGUCAUGAUGAUUCUGUUCCUCGUGUUUGUCCCCGUGCAGGUGAUCGUGACCGUCUGUCCCAAGGCCACAGAGACUGCCUGUGGUUGACUCAGCUCAGCAGUGACCACUGAACCUGCAAGAGGAGAGGAGAAGAGAGAACAUACAGGAAGCAUCACUGGAAUGAAAGAGUAAGUUGCAGUCCUUUGAUGACACCAGACACGUGAUGUAUGAAAGGAAGAUGAAUACACUGACCUCAUCAAAACCCCUAUCUUUUGAUUUAUAAAACCUCCUCCACAGGAUAAAAGAAACAAGUAACAGGCAACAGAACAGACUAGCAAAGACAUAUCUGAUGAACAGCUAGUGCAGAGAGGACACUAAGAAAUGUGAUCACUGAACAGUGAAGACACAACCACUGAGGAAAGGAGACUGAGUGGAACCAACACUUGUGUGCGGAGGAUGCAGGAUGGCGGGAGCGGGAGCAAGAGCUUGUCAUCCGUCAUCUGGAAAACACCAUUGUAACCUGAGGAGAAGGUGUCCCCAUGUGCCCUCAGAUUGGCUGAUGUAGAAAAGAGGACCCCAAAUACUGGCAGGGUGAGGAGAACUGGGCCCUUACACCUGACUGAUGGGGUGAAAUUAACCACAAAACUGGAGACACCUGCAUUUCCCACACAGGAGCUUGGUGGUUCUCUCAGGUAUUUAGUUCAGAUCCUGAGAAGUCACAUUUGCAGAAGGUCUAAUCACUGAUAAUCAUGACACCUUUGCGCACAAGAGCUUCUCCAGAUGCUGUCCCGAGAGAAAGCAGAUGCCAGGCCUGGUGUCGAUUACCAGAUUCUGUUUCAUGAACCAUGGAAUCCUACUCAGCAAAGAAAAGGAAGAUCUCUUCUUUUCUUCAAUUUUUAAUCUAAACUUUUUUAACAUCAUUGUUCAUUCUCCCCUCAGGUGUAAUCCCCAGAACAUUCCCACCAGCAAGUCACCCAUGAAGGUCACCAUCGUCUCCUGUGCUCUUCCCACCCCUGUUUUGAUCCCUCUCCCGCACCCUCCCCAGCCGAAUGUCUGUCAUUUGUAUUUUGCUGCUAGUUUUGUCUUUUUCCCCCCUGAUCCCUGGUUUGGUUUUCCUAUGCCCUCCUGUAAGAGAAACCAUCCGACAUCUUUCUCCUCUUUCUGACUUAUCGCACUGAGCAUGAUCAAAAAGGAAUGACCUCUUAAGGCAACAAUAACUAAGAGGCCCCAGGGAGCUAGUGCUGAGUGACAAUGCCAGUGCCAAGGCUGCACUCAAUAGUCACACGGGUGGUCUGACUUCCCCAGUUCCAGAAGGAACAGGGAGCUGGUGGUCGCUUUGAACGGACAAAAGGCCGGGGAGUGUGCACAAAGUUCAUUAGGAGCAAAGCAGGACAACUUUGAAGCAGAAGCAGCAAAGCAAAGCUCCUGUUCCUGGGAGGGGACUCGAAUAUGAGUUGUCAUUGGCAGGAUCCCCAAGGCUGCCUUACUGCUGGGAUGGUAGUUGCUGGAUUUGUUCUUCCUUUGAUGGGGCUUUGUUUUGAAUUUUUUGUGUUUCUCAGCUGCUGUUCCCUGGCCUGGAUCUGUCCUGCUCUCUAGAGGUGGGUGCUGCACCCCCUUCCCUGGACUCUGUCUCCCCAUGUCCCUGAGCUGUGUCCUGACCUUCAUUUCCUAACUCAGAGGGACUCUUUUUUCCUAACCUAUCCCCUCUGAAAAGACACUGUGAGAUGAAAGAACCAGUCAGAAAGUAAUGCCUGGGUUAGGACUGGAGGGUGCUGGCGGGAGGGGGAGGCAUAUUCUUAAAGGUCAGCACGCGGCCCCUUGGGCUAAGGGAACUGUUGGUAUCCAGGCCCUAAGGGUGGAUCUAGGAACCCACUCUUAUUCCCUUCUGGGACCCUGGAGGGUGGGAGGGUGUGGUUGUUGUAGAAAUUUACCCCUCCCCUGGGGCUCCUCACUAAGAUGGGGAACAGCUGUGGGGUAGAUCAGGUGACUGAGGCUCCUGGGUUGAGCAUCAGAAUCUACCACAUGCUGGUCAUGUCAGAAAGGCAGCCUGGCCUCCAAGGUCUGUAAUCACAGUCACCUCCUGGGGUGGGACCCCACAUAGCCUUCAGGCCCCACCUGGGGUCUGUCCUGGCUGGCUGAGACUGCAGGGUCUUCCAGGAGACUGGGCUGGGGCCGAGCUGGACCAUGACAGAAAUCAGAAUCCAGCGUUCCUGGGGUUGGGGUCCCCAGCACCCUCAUUCUUUCUCUUCCUGUCAUCCUCCUGUGUACCCCAGGCGCACAUGCUCCCAUCGGGGACUGUGGUUAAGAAUAUGUGUGUGUGGCUUCUGUCGUUGGCUGUUUGUCCAUUACUGAGUGCAUGGAAGUUUCCUUGUUAAACAACCGUCCCCUUUGGAAGAGUGAUCACAGCUUGGUCUCAUUUUCCAAGUGGUGUUGGGUCCUUGUUGUGACAGCCCCGACACCAUUGACCUUGACACUCUAGGAUUUCACUACUCUUUUGUAUAAGAUGUGAGGCUUUAGAAAUCCAGACCUGGCUAAGAAACCCUGUUUUGGCUCCACGUGAUCUGAAGAUUCCCAGGGUCAUGGUCUUUGCACAGAGGGAGAGCUCUGGGAACUGAAUGGACAGGGGUUCCCCAGGGCAUGUGGAUUCUUAAUUCAAUGACCAGGGACAGCCCGUGACCAGACUGUGACCAGAGAAGGGAGAAUUACUUCACGCUGCAGAAGGUCUCUUAUGUGGGCACCGAUCGCCUUCCAGGGCCCUGGGUGUCCCGAGAAGUGUGCCUGCCCCUCCUGAGCAAAGUAGGUGCAGCCUGAGCUCACAGUCAGCCUGGAGGACGGAGAGGCAGGAACAGUGGUGAGGGUGUCCCUGAUGUGCCAGCAGAGAGGGUCAGCUCCCUGGGCACAGGCUCUAUGGCUCAUUUCCCAGGUGAUGCCCCCUGGAUCCUGGUCCCAUCAGUGUCCUGGCAGCACACUAUGAUUCUGACCCUCAAAAUAUGGUCACUGCAGCCUGGGGGAAGAUCUGGCUGUGCUGAGUUCCUCUGAAGCUGUUCUGGUUCCCAGACCCCAGGGCAGGUUUGUCCCACUGAGGCUCCUGGGCAGCCCAGCUUUGUUCUGGGGCUCCUGCCUGAAGCUCUGCUGCCCCCUGCUGGUGGAGGACAGCUCAUGCCAGGAAGCUCCUUGCCAGCCCCAGAGUCCCUGUCCAAGGAGAGAGUGUUGAACAGAGUUCAGCCCUCCCCUGUGCCAGCUGUGAUCCCCUGGCCUCCUGGCAGAGCGCAGCAAGAUAGAAUACGGGGCACGGGGGGGCAGGCCAUGUCAGUUUUUUGAAGCACAUCCCACUUGUCAAGUGCCCUAGCUGGGGUGAUUUGUUCAUUUGCAAAUUUGCUGUCUGGAACCUGAGUGAUGCUGUAGGCACCCCUGCCUUCAUGUCAGCUCAGAUUCAGGAAGAAGCCUCCCCCCUCGGCAUGGAGAGGCUGAUCAUUACCAGGGCCACUGGUGCUUCCUGACCCGAAACUCAGUUGCACUCACCCCUCGUGAUUAUUUACCAGGGUUUUUAUCACCAUAAAUUUCCCAGAGUUCAUGUUGAAGCGUUUCUCCCUCAGCCUCGCCUGAACUGCCGCUUAUUUUUGUCUUUGUAUUUACUGUUGAUAUAUUCUCGCAGCCCAUACUUCGGUAUAGCUUUUCAAUUCAAUUGAUAGCCUCUGCUCUUAAUUGUGAUAUUUGAUUAUUUACAAUGA